Molecule: transfer RNA, 72 nt
Organism: Camelus ferus (Wild Bactrian camel)
Lineage: Eukaryota; Metazoa; Chordata; Mammalia; Artiodactyla; Camelidae
Rfam family: tRNA
About the family: Transfer RNA (tRNA) molecules are approximately 80 nucleotides in length. Their secondary structure includes four short double-helical elements and three loops (D, anti-codon, and T loops).
Source: Rfam
GAGGGUAUAGCCCAGGGGUAGAGUGCAUGCCUGGCAUGCACAAGGUCCUGGGUUCAAUCCCUAGUACCUCCA